This 26-nucleotide ribosomal RNA is filed under the name Limnospira platensis NPS-08. Its description in RNAcentral is "Arthrospira platensis NPS-08 partial 23S ribosomal RNA". Lineage: Bacteria; Bacillati; Cyanobacteriota; Cyanophyceae; Oscillatoriales; Sirenicapillariaceae. The record is from RNAcentral.
GUCAAGCUACAAAGGGCUAAGCGGUG